UACGUAGGUGGCAAGCGUUGUCCGGAUUUACUGGGUGUAAAGGGCGUGCAGCCGGGAAGACAAGUCAGAUGUGAAAUCCCGCGGCUCAAUCGCGGAACUGCAUUUGAAACUGUUUUUCUUGAGUACCGGAGAGGUCAUCGGAAUUCCUUGUGUAGCGGUGAAAUGCGUAGAUAUAAGGAAGAACACCAGUGGCGAAGGCGGAUGACUGGACGGCAACUGACGGUGAGGCGCGAAAGCGUGGGGAGCAAACAGG
RNAcentral lists this ribosomal RNA (253 nucleotides) under uncultured bacterium. RNAcentral's name for it is "partial 16S ribosomal RNA". It matches the Rfam family "Bacterial small subunit ribosomal RNA", at positions 524 to 776 of the family's 1533-position model. The record is from RNAcentral.